This 301-nucleotide ribosomal RNA is filed under the name uncultured bacterium. RNAcentral's name for it is "partial 16S ribosomal RNA". It matches the Rfam family "Bacterial small subunit ribosomal RNA", at positions 509 to 808 of the family's 1533-position model. The record is from RNAcentral.
CAGUCGCCGCGGUAACACGGAGGGUGCAAGCGUUACUCGGAAUCACUGGGCGUAAAGGACGCGUAGGCGGAUUAUCAAGUCUCUUGUGAAAUCUAGCGGCUUAACCGUUAGACUGCUUGGGAACUGAUAAUCUAGAGUAAGGGAGAGGCAGAUGGAAUUCUUGGUGUAGGGGUAAAAUCCGUAGAGAUCAAGAAGAAUACCCAUUGCGAAAGCGAUCUGCUGGAACUUAACUGACGCUAAUGCGUGAAAGCGUGGGGAGCAAACAGGAUUAGAUACCCCAGUAGUCCCUGUCUCUUAUACA